UGGCUGAGCGGUAAAGCACUUGGCUUCUGAACCAGGGGUCCCAGGUUUGAAUCCUGG
Biomphalaria glabrata is the source of this 57-nucleotide non-coding RNA. NCBI's taxonomy places the organism in Eukaryota, Metazoa, Mollusca, Gastropoda, Planorbidae. The record is from Rfam.